Molecule: ribosomal RNA, 442 nt
Filed under: uncultured bacterium
Lineage: Bacteria
Description: partial 16S ribosomal RNA
Rfam family: Bacterial small subunit ribosomal RNA
Source: RNAcentral
CCUACGGGUGGCAGCAGUGGGGGAUAUUGCACAAUGGGGGAAACCCUGAUGCAGCGACGCCGCGUGGGCGAAGAAGUAUUUCGGUAUGUAAAGCCCUAUCAGCAGGGAAGAAGAAAUGACGGUACCUGAGAAAGAAGCACCGGCGAAAUACGUCCCAGCAGCCGCGGUAAUACGUAGGGUGCAAGCGUUAUCCGGAUUUACGGGGUGUAAAGGGAGUGUAGGCGGCACUGCAAGUCUGGUGUGAAAGCCCGGGGCCCAACCGCGGGACUGCAUUGGGAACUACCGGGCUGGAGUGCCGGAGAGGUAGGCGGAAUUCCUAGUGUAGCGGUGAAAUGCGUAGAUAUUAGGAGGAACACCAGUGGCGAAGGCGGCCUACUGGACGGUGACUGACGCUGAGGCUCGAAAGCGUGGGGAGCAAACAGGAUUAGAUACCCUAGUAGUC